Molecule: ribosomal RNA, 305 nt
Filed under: uncultured bacterium
Lineage: Bacteria
Description: bacterial SSU rRNA
Rfam family: Bacterial small subunit ribosomal RNA
Source: RNAcentral
CCUACGGGGGGCAGCAGUAGGGAAUCUUCCACAAUGGACGAAAGUCUGAUGGAGCAACGCCGCGUGAGUGAGGAAGGGUUUCGGCUCGUAAAGCUCUUUUGGUAGUGAAGAAAGAUAGAGGUAGUAACUGGCCUUUAUUUGACGGUAAUUACUUAGAAAGUCACGGCUAACUACGUGCCAGCAGCCGCGGUAAUACGUAGGUGGCAAGCGUUGUCCGGAUUUAUUGGGCGUAAAGCGAGUGCAGGCGGCUCCAUAAGUCUGAUGUUAAAGCCUUCGGCUCAACCGGAGAAUUUCAUCAGAAACUG